This 73-nucleotide transfer RNA is filed under the name Anaerolineales bacterium. RNAcentral describes it as "tRNA-Arg". It matches the Rfam family "tRNA". Rfam says of the family: Transfer RNA (tRNA) molecules are approximately 80 nucleotides in length. Lineage: Bacteria; Bacillati; Chloroflexota; Anaerolineae; Anaerolineales. The record is from RNAcentral.
GCCCCCGUAGCUCAGUUGGAUAGAGCACCGGCCUCCGGAGCCGGCGGCCCGCGUUCGAGUCGCGGCGGGGGGA